UGGGGAAUUUUGGACAAUGGGCGCAAGCCUGAUCCAGCCAUGCCGCGUGCGGGAAGAAGGCCUUCGGGUUGUAAACCGCUUUUGUCAGGGAAGAAAUCUUCUGAGUUAAUACCUCGGGAGGAUGACGGUACCUGAAGAAUAAGCACCGGCUAACUACGUGCCAGCAGCCGCGGUAAUACGUAGGGUGCGAGCGUUAAUCGGAAUUACUGGGCGUAAAGCGUGCGCAGGCGGUCUUGCAAGACAGGUGUGAAAUCCCCGGGCUUAACCUGGGAACUGCACUUGUGACUGCAAGGCUGGAGUACGGCAGAGGGGGAUGGAAUUCCGCGUGUAGCAGUGAAAUGCGUAGAUAUGCGGAGGAACACCGAUGGCGAAGGCAAUCCCCUGGGCCUGUACUGACGCUCAUGCACGAAAGCGUGGGGAGCAAACAGGAUUAGAUACCCUGGUAGUCCACGCCCUAAACGAUGUCAACUGGUUGUUGGACGGCUUGCUGUUCAGUAACGAAGCUAACGCGUGAAGUUGACCGCCUGGGGAGUACGGCCGCAAGGUUG
RNAcentral lists this ribosomal RNA (548 nucleotides) under uncultured bacterium. Its description in RNAcentral is "bacterial SSU rRNA". It matches the Rfam family "Bacterial small subunit ribosomal RNA", at positions 355 to 896 of the family's 1533-position model. The record is from RNAcentral.